This 3762-nucleotide ribosomal RNA is filed under the name Triticum aestivum (bread wheat). Its description in RNAcentral is "partial small subunit ribosomal RNA". Lineage: Eukaryota; Viridiplantae; Streptophyta; Magnoliopsida; Poales; Poaceae. The record is from RNAcentral.
AUGGUCUUCAAGGGCCGCUUCUUCUCGUCGCGGCACAAGUCGUCCGAGUCCUCCAGCCCCGACGGCAGCAACAGCCCGCGCACGCCCACCUCCGCCCCCGGGGCGGCCUCCGCGGCCUCGCCGGCCUCCUCCUCCGCCUCCUCCAGAUCCGACAAGAAGAAGCCCAAAUCCGAGACCCCCAAGAAGCGCGACAAGCUCUUCGGCUCCGCCGCCGUCGCCGUGCCCUCCCCCAGGGCCUCCCCGGCCUCCUCCACCUCCAGCCCCUCCGCCGCCAAGCACCACCUCAGGGAUGCGGCCCCCGCCGCCGCGCUCUCGCCGAUCCUCGCCUCCUCGCUCGGCCUCAACAAGAUCAAGACGAGAUCCGGCCCGCUGCCGCACGAGGGCCAGCGGAUGGCCGCCGCGCUCGGGAGCAGCAACCUCGCGCGCGGCCACUCCCAGGCGGGGACAGCCUCCGGGAAGAAGGGCGUCAGCUCGUGGGCCGAUUCCACCAGCGCUGGCAGUGCUAGUAACCGGGGCAAGGGAAAGGCCGCCGAGCAGCCCGUGCAACCCGUGCGCGCCGUGGAACCGGAAGGGAAGAGCGCUGCAAAAGCUAAAUCUAAUUCAUUUCGGAACCAUUCGGGAGAUUUGAGGACUCCGCCCCAAAUACCAGCGACCGUGUCUUCAUAUGAUGCCUGUGAAACGCCAAAGGAAUCCGAGUCUCCACGCUUCAAGGCCAUUAUGCAGGCUACCAGUGCACCAAGGAAGAGAAACCCUUCAGAUAUAAAGAGUUUUUCACAUGAGUUGAACUCCAAAGGGGUCCGACCAUUCCCAUUCUUGAAACCUCGAGGCGUAUACAACUUGAAGGAGGUGUUAAAAGUUAUUCAGGUGAGAUUUGAGAAGGCAAAGGAAGAGGUAAAUACAGAUUUGGCAGUUUUUGCGGGGGACUUGGUUAGUGUAAUGGAGAAGUACGCAGACUCUCAUCCUGAGUGGAAAGAAACUUUGGAGGAUUUGUUAAUACUUGCACGCAGCUGCUCUGUAAUGACACCCGGGGAACUUUGGCUGCAAUGUGAAGGUAUAGUGCAAGAUUUGGAUGAUCAACGUCAGGAGCUCCCAAUGGGUGUGCUGAAGAAGCUUUACACUCGGAUGCUCUUUAUCCUUACAAGAUGUACAAGGCUGCUCCAGUUUCACAAGGAGAGUGGAUUUGCUGAGGAUGAAAUUGUUAUGGAUCAGCGAGAUAAGAUUAUACAAUCUGCUGAUAACAAGAUUUUAACCCAAUCAGGUCCACAUGCUACAACAAGCAGAAGUAGCAAAAGCGAUGCAAGAAAAUCAUACAGUCAAGAGCAGCAUAAUCUGAAAUGGAGAAGAAGCCAGGAGAUAAAACCUGUUAAGCUUCUGCCCCUUGACACUGAUAUCAAGAAAGAGGUUGAAUCUCCAACCAGAGAACGGAUUUCUUCCUGGAAACCUUUUCCAUCACCUGUUCCAAAGCCCCCAAAAGAACCUACCCCUAUUAAAGAGGAAUCGCCUACUAAGAAAAUAGAUACACUCGCUACGAUUCCUAGCGGCGUUGAGUUAACCAGUCCAGUAGAAUCUGUAUCACAUCAACCACUUCCUCCCAAGCAUCAACACAAAACUUCAUGGGGACACUGGUCUGACCAGCCAAAUAUUUCUGAAGAGGGUUCAAUAAUGUGUCGCAUAUGUGAAGAAUAUAUCCCUACAAAUUACGUAGAAAAUCAUUCGGCAGUCUGUGCAAUCGCUGACAGGUGUGACCAAAAAGGUGUAAGCGUUGAUGAACGUUUAGUAAGAGUUGCAGAAACACUUGAAAAGUUGGUCGAGUCUUAUACGCAGAGAGACCUUAUCAAUUCUGUCAGCAGCCCAGAUGCUGCAAAAGUUUCAAAUCCAAGCAUCAAUGAAGAAUCUGAUGGUGCCUCUCCAAAACUGUCUGAUUGGUCUAGAAGAGGUUCUGCUGAUAUGAUCGACUAUCUCCAAGAGGCUGAUAACACUAUUUCGUUGGAUGAUAUAAAAAAUCUUCCUUCAAUGACAUGUAAGACUCGCUUUGGGCCGAAAUCUGAUCAUGGAAUGGCUACAUCAUCGGCAGGAAGUAUGACUCCUCGAUCUCCACUAACGACUCCAAGAUCAAAUCAUAUAGACAUGCUUUUAGCUGGGAGAAGUGUGAUUAAUGAGAGUAACGAUCUUCCACAGAUUGUUGAACUUGCUGAUAUUGCACGAUGUAUUGCAAAUACUCCUCUGGAUGAAGAAAGUGCUUUGUCCCAAUUGGUCACUUGCAUAGAAGAUCUGCAAGAAAUUGUCAAUCGUAGGAAGCAUGAAGCCCUCACAGUGCAAACAUUUGGCACUCGCAUAGAAAAGCUCCACCGGGAGAAAUACCUGCAGCUUUGUGACUCAGUUGAUAUGGACAAGGUUGACUCGUCGAGUACCAUAAUGGACGAAGAAGAUGAUGUUGUUCGUAGCUUACGAGCAAGUCCUGUUCAUCCAGUCAAGGAUCGUACUUCAAUCGAUGACUUUGAAAUCAUAAAACCUAUCAGCCGCGGAGCAUUUGGACGUGUUUUCUUGGCCAAGAAAAGAACUACAGGAGACCUCUUUGCUAUAAAGGUACUUAGGAAGGCAGAUAUGAUUCGGAAAAAUGCCGUCGAAAGUAUAUUGGCUGAACGCGAUAUAUUGAUCACGGUCAGGAAUCCUUUUGUGGUUCGUUUCUUCUAUUCGUUUACCUCUCGGGAAAAUUUGUAUCUGGUCAUGGAGUACUUAAAUGGAGGCGACCUGUAUUCUUUACUGAGAAAUUUAGGGUGCUUGGAUGAAGAUGUUGCUCGUGUAUAUCUUGCAGAAGUUGUGCUAGCUUUGGAAUAUUUGCACUCCAUGCAGAUUGUUCACAGAGAUCUAAAACCUGACAACCUAUUGAUUGCUCAUGAUGGGCAUGUAAAGUUGACAGAUUUUGGGUUGUCCAAGGUUGGUCUGAUCAAUAGCACAGAUGAUCUAUCUGGCCCUGCUGUUAGUGGGGCUUCAUUGUAUGGAGACGAGGAACCUCAGAUGAAUGAAUUAGAGGAAAUGGAUCACCGAGCACGGCGACAAAAGCGUUCUGCGGUUGGAACCCCUGAUUAUUUAGCACCAGAAAUCCUUUUGGGGACAGGGCAUGGUACUAGUGCAGAUUGGUGGUCUGUAGGUGUAAUUCUUUUUGAGUUACUUGUUGGAAUACCUCCAUUUAAUGCAGAGCACCCUCAGACAAUUUUUGACAAUAUUCUUAAUCGCAAAAUACCUUGGCCACAUGUCCCAGAAGAGAUGAGUUUUGAAGCGAAAGAUCUAAUUGACAAAUUUUUGACAGAAGACCCUCAUCAACGUCUAGGAUCAGAUGGUGCCUCUGAGGUCAAACAACAUCCAUUCUUUAAGGAUGUUAGCUGGGAUACCAUUGCUAGGCAGAAGAAAAAUCAUUUGCAGGCUGCCUUCGUUCCCUCCUCAGAUAGUGCAUUUGAUACCAGCUACUUCACCAGCCGUUACUCUUGGAAUCCAUCAGAUGAAAACAUGUAUGAAGCAUAUGAGUUUGAGGAUUCCAGUGAGAAUGGAAGCCUUAGUGGCAGCAGUAGUUGCGUGAGCAAUCACCAAGAUGACAUGGGGGAUGAGCAUGGAGGUGGCCCCACCGACUUUGAAUCCGGCCCAAAUGUCAAUUACUCUUUCAGUAACUUCUCGUUCAAGAAUCUUUCACAACUUGCAUCCAUCAAUUAUGAUCUGCUGACGAAAGGAUUGAAGGACGAGCCUCCUAUGAAACCUGAAACAUAG